GGAAGAAGGGCACCGAAGAACAGCUGCACAUAGAGCAGGCAUCCCACGUCCUCUGCAUGGCCAUCUCGUCAGAUGUCAAGUGCCUGGGACCGUAGAGGGGGCUGGCGCAUGGGGCGGAGAGAAUCAAGCUGACGAUGAUCUGGGCUUCAGCCAUGUGCACACACCUGCACAUCUUCCCCGGGCACCGCGAUGCUGUUUGGGGCCUGUCCUUCCAGAAGGGCACCCACCAGCUCUACAGUGCCUCCCUUGACCGCUGCAUCAAGGUCUGGAAGGCAGCAGAAAAUGCACACGUGGAGACCCUACUGGGGCACCACAACGUCAUGACGAGGCUGGACAGCCUGAGCCAGGAGUGCUGUGUGAGGUCGGGGGACGGGAUGGCAGCGUGCGGCUCUGGAUGAUCCCGAAGGAGUCACAGCUCGUGUUUGAUGGGCACCAGUAGGGUCUCCAUUGACUGCAUCCAGCUCAUCAGCAGGAGCACGUGGUGUUGGGCACCAAUGAAAUGUCCAAACCCGAAAUCCAAAUCACUUUAUUUACAUAAAUGAAAAAAACCCAAACAAAACAAGCAAAAAAACAAACAAAAAAACCAAACAAAAAACCCCAAAAAAACCCCAAACCCCCCCAAACCAAACAAAAAAACCUCACAAACACAAAAAAAAAAAAAAUCAAAGAAAAAAAAAAAGGAAA
Calypte anna (Anna's hummingbird) is the source of this 684-nucleotide long non-coding RNA. RefSeq lists it as uncharacterized. NCBI's taxonomy places the organism in Eukaryota, Metazoa, Chordata, Aves, Apodiformes, Trochilidae. The record is from RefSeq and is a predicted model, not a curated record. The transcript is spliced from 5 exons.